RNAcentral lists this RNase P RNA (360 nucleotides) under Kiritimatiellia bacterium. Its description in RNAcentral is "RNase P RNA component class A". It matches the Rfam family "Bacterial RNase P class A". From Rfam's summary of the family: Ribonuclease P (RNase P) is a ubiquitous endoribonuclease, found in archaea, bacteria and eukarya as well as chloroplasts and mitochondria. Its best characterised activity is the generation of mature 5'-ends of tRNAs by cleaving the 5'-leader elements of precursor-tRNAs. Cellular RNase Ps are ribonucleoproteins. The record is from RNAcentral. Lineage: Bacteria; Pseudomonadati; Kiritimatiellota; Kiritimatiellia.
GCGUGCGAGCGACCGGUCGCGGCCUUCACGGCCGAGGAAAGUCCGGACUCCACAGGGCGGGGGAUCCGUCCGUAAAGGGCGGAAGGCGCGGGGAAAUCCCGCGCGAUGGAAAGUGCCACAGAAAAAGACAGCCUCGAGAGAGGUGAUGGUGAAACGGCGGUGCAAGAGACCACCGGCGCGGCUGAAACGACGCGCGCAGGGCAAACCCUCCCCGGAGCAAGAUCAAAUAGGGGAUCGACGGGCGGCCCGUCCGGAGGGACCGAAAGGUUCGCUUAGAUCCCGGGUUGAUCGCUUAGAUGAAUGACCGGAGUCCUCCGCAAGGGGGAUGAACAGAAUCUGGCUUAUUCGCCGCAUGCCGCU